Molecule: long non-coding RNA, 4531 nt
Organism: Orcinus orca (killer whale)
Lineage: Eukaryota; Metazoa; Chordata; Mammalia; Artiodactyla; Delphinidae
Exons: 2
Source: RefSeq, a predicted model, not a curated record
GAGAAACGCAGAAGAGGGGGACCGGGUAGGGACGCCCGUGGAGGGUGCGGGAGAGAGAGUGCUUCUGGCAGGGUUAGCCGGGGUCUGGAAUGUGGUCGCUGGCUCUUCUUGGUGAUGCAACCUUGGGCUAAUUACUUCAUCGCUAUGAACGUCCAUUUCUUUAUCUGUCAGGUGGUCAUUAACAGCCUUACCGGAUCAUUGUGAUGAAACCCUCGAGGUGUGCAUACAGCACAUCCCCGGGGCAAAGGAGGGACAGUACAUCCCCCCAGCAAGCCCACCAGGAACACACCUGAAGAUGAACGAGCUGGAUUUACUACUUCUUGUAAGGGGGAGGAAUGCAUUCACAGGGAACCACGGGAUCAAAAGCUAUAUUUUCCAGGGCAGAGGUCGCCAGGAGAAUUUUGAAAUUUUAUGUUUUCAGUUUAAUGACCUAGAGAUUUUAACGUAAGCAUAUUCUGAAUUGUCUUGUAAUCAAGUACCGGCACUUGAUGUCACCUGUAUUUGUAUCUCCACUUAUGAUCACAUUGGCUCCAAGUAGAAGUACUUUAGCAAUGUCAGAGAAAAGAGGUGGACUAAAUAUAUAAACGAUACACCCGAGCUAAAUGAAGACCACGGAUGUCAUAUCAUGUUCAAAACGUUUUCAUAGUAUUCCAGUAAAACGUGUGGGAGAAUUGAGUUACCACCUGACACAUGAAUAGACAUACUGAUCUCAAAAGAACCUGUGCGGUACCAGGCAGUGCUAUAUUCGAGUGGCAAAACCAAAACAGAAUAUAGUAGCUACUAGAUUUUGUUAGUUUCAAGAAGAAAUGGCUUUUAAGCUUCUGAUAAAAUCAGCAAAGUAAGAUGUGGUGAAAAGAUCUUAGUUACACUAAGCAAUGACUGCUAAGUAGGUGAUUGUCAAUACUGUGCUCAUAAGAGUUUAAUCAUACAACUCCAAGCACAAGUUGUUGAAAGACAAUAUAAUCUGAUCAUAUGACCUUGGUCAAUAAUAUGCCAAAACAGACCUGGAUAGGUCUUAUCUACCUGAGAAAUUCAUAACCUAACUUCAGUGCUUGUCUUUCUUGACCUCUGUUGCCUUGGAUGCCAUUGAACAAAUUCCUCCUUCUUGAAAUAUUAUCUCUCUUUGGGUUCCAUGACACAACUCGAUCUUUCUGUCACCCUGAGAGCGCCUUAGCUUCCUCAGUGGGCUUGCUUCUCCAAGGGUACUGUUUCUCAGGUUCCGUCCCAGCUCCUCUUCUGCCCUGUCUGUCACAUCCACACUUGUGAUCAACCACCAGUAUACCCAUCACUCCCAAAUCUCAAGCUCACCCAGUUCUCUUGAACUUGACACCCAGAGCUUCCACCCGAGUAUUUUAAAAAAACACUGCACACUUUAAAAUGUCCAAAACAUAUACCAUCUUCCUUAUAAAUCCAAUUCCCUCCUGAAAACCCUGUUUCAACUAAUGACAUCACCUGUCCAGUCAGCAAAGUCAGAGACCUGGGAAUCAUAACUGGCUUAUUUUUGGCUGCGUUGGGUCUUUGUUGCUGCCUGCCGGCUUUCUCUAGUUGCGGAGAGCAGGGGCUACUCUUCGUCGCGGUGCGCGGGCUUCUCCUUGUGGUGGCUUCUCUUGUUGUGGAGCACAGGCUCUAGGCACGCGGGCUUCAAGAGUUGUGGCACACGGGCUUAGUAGUUGUGGCUCGCGGGCUCUAGAGCGUAGCCUCAGUAGUUGUGGUGCAUGGGAUUAGUAGCUGUGGUGAACCUGUGGCAUGUGAGAUCUUCCCGGACCAGGGCUCAAACCCGUGUCCCCUGGCAGGCAGAUUCUUAACCACUGUGCCACCAGGGAAGUCCUGUACCUGGCUUUUUGAUCACCAAAUGCUGUAGCUUUUAUGUCAUAAACAUAACUGGUAUGAUUUAUACCUCUUUUAGGUGUGUGGCUAUAAGGCAAGUGGGCCCCUGGAUCCAGAGCAUUUGGGCUGAGGGCAGUUUUUCGGCUUGUCCGAGGUUGGGGCUUUGUCUCGCCAUCAGCCCACUGGUGAAUGGAAUCUGAAGGUUGCUGGGGAGGAGGUGGGCAAAUCUGCAAAGAGCCCAGGGAGUUCCCCGGUAAAGAGUCAGAAAUCCUGCCUCUUCCCCUUUGGGGUUUCAAGUUAUUCUAACACUUGUGAUGUGUUGGGACGGUCCUAGUAAGCCGAGUGGUGAGAAAUGUACAAUAAUGGCCCUCAAGAAUGUGUCCACCACGCUGCCGGUGCUGGUGCUGCUGGGGGUGCAGUAAAAGAGCGGGGCUGGUACGGCAGGCCCAGCACCAGGGCCUUUCCUGUCUCAGGGGAAGGCCAGUCAGGAACAGGGGAAUGAUGUUGCACCCUGUCCUCAUCUGCCGCCUUGGGCCUUGGGGUUCCUUAAGAGAAAUAACUGAUUUUCUGUAAAUAAAAAUAUCUGUCUCUAAAGUUGUACUGGGAACCCAGCCUGCAAUAGUGUGGGGUAACCGUUGCUAGCCUGGGUUCUCCUCCCUCCCUGCAAUCUGUGCCGCAGUCUCAGUGGGUAGACUUUGAACCCUUACACCCGAGAGCCGGACUUCCUGUUUUCUGUGUCAGCCUCACCAGAGCAGCAGUUGGAAGCUUAAGCAGUCACACCAGACUUCUCCAUUUCUUUUCUCCACAACAGAAAUAUUAAACCAGACUGACUCACCUGGAUGAAGGAAGCACCUUGAGGGGGUCUUAAUUUGCAAGGAGGGGAAAACUCAGAGAAUGAUGAAUGGACUUCUGUCAGUCAGGAUGGAAGCUCAAAUUUGAUUUAUUUGUGUAGUAACUUAAACGUGGCUUCAUUUUCCACCACAGCAGGUGACAUAGGAUAUAUGUGAAAGCUCCUGGAACAGGGCCUGACACUUGGUGGGUAUUCAGUAAUCUUUGGAUUGGAAGCUAAAUCUUGCUUAAUUAGACACACAUACUACUGUGUUUGAGCAGUUACAGGGAAGAACCUGACCUCUGCUUCAAUUUGGCCUUUCCUUUUUUGAUCCCACAGAGCGAUCACUUUCCUCCUUAAGAGGAGUCAGUCCCCUUUUUACUGGGCUGUGGGAGUAGGGAAGGAUUUAAAGUCAGCAGAGUACGUGAAAUUCAGGCACAAGUGACUCCAUAAUAUAGGCCACGUUUAGAGGAUUAGUCCUCUGCCUUCCAUCCCCAGCUCCUUAGAAAGGCCAUUAAACUAUAUUUUUACGGAAUAUUUAGUUACAUGGAAAAAUUUCCAUGCUAUGACAGUAAGUAAAAAAAAAAAAAAAAGGAAAUAAAAAGUAUAUCGUAUAUCCCAAUUUUGUUAAAAAUACAUACUUUUUUGUUAAAAAUACAAAAAAAGUAUACAUAUGAAUGUGUAGAAAAAAGGCCAUAAAGUAAUGUAUCAAAUUUUAAUAACAAUUAUCUCUGAGUGGUCGGAUUACUAACAAUUUUUGUGUUAUUAAAUACCAUAGACAGUAUAAUUUUCUGUAUUCUCCACAUUUUCAGCAAUAAACACGUAUUAAUUUAUAAUCAGAAAAAAGUUUAUUUAAAAAGAAAUGAGAAAAGGAAUUGAUAAAACAAUUUCUUGUAAAAUCAUUAUAUUUGUUACAAAGCUUCAGGAAAAAAGCCCCAAAGAUUGAUUCUUUUCCAAGUGGUUCUACAAACUUUAAAGUUGAAUCAGCAACCGCAUGGCAAACUGACAUUCUUGGACUGUGACAGGUGGCCUGAGAUAAGACAGGAUGGAUACCAAUGGCUGAAGGGGAAUCAAGAAUCCUUUAUCUAGAAAAGUUACUUAAGAAUGGAGAAAGAACUGUUCUGAAAUGGAGGGAGAACCAGGGUGAACUUUUGGGCAGCCUGGAUCAACCUAUUUAAAACCAGACUCACAAAACAGGGAGACUCAUAGAGCAUAGAAACCCUCUAGUCGGGGCCCCUAACUUUACCCGUAAGAAAACCAAACCCAAAGGGAGUUGCUGUGUUAUUCUUCAUGGAACGUAGUUGCCGUUUUAUAGUCCUGUGCUCACAGAGAUAUGGAAAGGACCCUGCUUGGAAUCCAGGCCCUGCUGCCGCCCAUCUUUCCUCCUUCGUUUUCCUGACAGAAAAUGAGUGGAGUUUUAAAGAAGGAGUUUAAGAAGGCAGUUUGGAAAUUUAAGAAGAAGAUUUUAUAAAGGAGAAGCUCUGUGGUACGCAAGUGCCCUGGGAAGUUAUAAGGACUUCCCUGGUGGCUCAGAGGUUAAGAAUCCGCCUGCCAAUGCAGGGGACACGGGUUCAAUCCCUGGUCCGGGAAGAUCCCACAUGCCGCGGAGCAACUAAGCCCGUGCGCCGCAACUACUGAGCCUGUGCUGUAGAGCCCGUGAGCCACAACUACUGAGCCCAUGUGCCACAACUACUGAAGCCUGCACGCCUAGAGCCUGUGCUCUGCAACAAGAGAAGCCACUGCACUGAGAAGCCCGCGCACCGCAAUGAAGAGUAGCCCCUGCUCGCCGCAACUAGAGAAAGCCCGCGCGCAGCAACAAAGACCCAACACAGCCAAAAAUAAACUAACAAAUAAAUAAAUAUAUUGGCUAUAUUC